RNAcentral lists this microRNA precursor (77 nucleotides) under Saccoglossus kowalevskii. RNAcentral describes it as "microRNA sko-mir-2001 precursor". Lineage: Eukaryota; Metazoa; Hemichordata; Enteropneusta; Harrimaniidae. The record is from miRBase by way of RNAcentral.
ACGUUGUUGUGACCGUUAUAAUGGGCAUAUCAAGCACCAAUGCAAUCAUAAUGCCUACUGUAGCGUUUACAACAAUG